UACGAAGGGGGCUAGCGUUGCUCGGAAUUACUGGGCGUAAAGGGCGCGUAGGCGGCACUGUUAGUCAGGCGUGAAAUCCCUGGGCUCAACCCAGGAACUGCACUCGAAACUUCUUUUCUUGAGUGCCGGAGAGGAAAGCGGAAUUCCUGGUGUAGAGGUGAAAUUCGUAGAUAUCAGGAGGAACACCAGUGGCGAAGGCGGCUUUCUGGACGGUAACUGACGCUGAGACGCGAAAGCGUGGGGAGCAAACAGG
RNAcentral lists this ribosomal RNA (253 nucleotides) under uncultured bacterium. RNAcentral describes it as "partial 16S ribosomal RNA". It matches the Rfam family "Bacterial small subunit ribosomal RNA", at positions 524 to 776 of the family's 1533-position model. The record is from RNAcentral.